Molecule: long non-coding RNA, 620 nt
Organism: Hyaena hyaena (striped hyena)
Lineage: Eukaryota; Metazoa; Chordata; Mammalia; Carnivora; Hyaenidae
Exons: 4
Source: RefSeq, a predicted model, not a curated record
CGGCCGGCCGCUGGGGCCGAGUAUUGUCCUAAAGGCCGAAAAGACAGGAGAGCGAGGAGAUUGGGGGACAGCCGCGUGACCGGGAGAGGAUUUACAAUAUUUUCUUUCGCUGCCGACAAUAUCGCAAAAUGUGUGGAAGGGACCGCACGGCCAGGACAGGAGCGUGAGCGCGCGAGCAAGGUUCCUGGAGCGCCCGCGCUGCGCCCGCCGGAGCCCGGGGUCUCUCCAUCACCUGGGAGGAAUCCGAGGGGCAGAGGCCAGCUUGCCGACACGACGCGCGCAGAGGGGACUCAAACCCGGUCUGGUCCAAGCCCGGAGCCCAGCUCCUUCCCUCCUUCCACUUCUGCCUGACCGAAAGACCACUGGAUUUGGAGUCGGUGAAACUCGGAGAUCCAGGCCACGUUCUGCUAAUGACAAGCUGUGUGACCUUGGCGUUUCCCCCCUACCGGAAAUCUGAUGGGCUUAUGACAUCAUGGCUGGCUGCUGAGCGAUGAAGUGGAUGCCACAAAGAAAUCCGACAUAUCAGAUGGAUUCUGAAAUCAGUUUCCCUCUGGCUGCAGUAACAGGCGUGAAGUCAGGAGAAUCUGAGCUUUGUCUAAGAAAAAAAUAAAAAAUAAAAA